RNAcentral lists this long non-coding RNA (588 nucleotides) under Struthio camelus australis. Its description in RNAcentral is "lncRNA (ENSSCUG00000010910.1)". The record is from RNAcentral. Lineage: Eukaryota; Metazoa; Chordata; Aves; Struthioniformes; Struthionidae.
GCUAGAAGGACAUUCAGAAACCUGGAUAUACUUACAAAGGCAAAACUUUCCUCUCUGCAGAAGGCAGCACCAAAAUCAUUGCUGAGAAAGAGGCUCUGCCAUCACCGCUCGUCCCCCGGUCCCAGGGAGUUGAUGGUGAGCACAGCUAGAUCCUCACAAGUGCCCGCUCUCUCACCCAGCUCUGCACCUCACCGCUGGCAUGGAAUAGCCCCUUGGUUCACUCACUUUUGCCUCUGUUGCAGACAAUAUUAUGCCAAAGAAGCCUGUGCAGGCAGAACUAUCUGGCAUAUUUCACAUCUCUGGCAGAAGUAACAGUUGUGGGGAAGCGUGUCCAGGAUUGACGGAGCUGCUCCACGCUGGGUCCCAUGAGACAGGCAGGACAGCCCUGUCCUUCCUGCCUGGGGACACAGCACCAUCCUCUUCCUCCUCUGCGCGGGUGGCCCCACCGGACUCUGAAGCGAAGCUGUGAAGGACUGCUGCAACGUGCAUGAGUGGAAAGCAAAGGAGAGACCAAAGCCCACCAAGCCUCUGGCGUCCGAUCCCCCAGCAUCCUGACUUCAUCUGACUUGGGUAGGUCAACCACUUGGA